CGUAGUUGGAUUUCUGGCUCGACGGGGCUGACCCGCGGUGCAAACCGUGAGUGUCGGCUUUUCCGUCUGCCAUCCUUCCAGAGAACGUUCCUACCCUUCACUGGGCCGGGUUCGCAAUCUGGGACUUUUACUUUGAGGAAAUUAGAGUGUUCAAAGCAGGCUUGCGCUGUGAAUACAUUAGCAUGGAAUAUCAACUUAGGACUUUGGUUCUAUUUUGUUGGUUUCUAGGACUGAAGUAAUGA
This 242-nucleotide ribosomal RNA is filed under the name uncultured eukaryote. RNAcentral's name for it is "partial 18S ribosomal RNA". It matches the Rfam family "Eukaryotic small subunit ribosomal RNA", at positions 629 to 868 of the family's 1831-position model. The record is from RNAcentral.